CGCUAUCACUCCUACGGGAGGCAGCAGUGGGGAAUCUUGGACAAUGGGCGCAAGCCUGAUCCAGCCAUGCCGCGUGAGUGAUGAAGGCCCUAGGGUCGUAAAGCUCUUUCGCCAGGGAUGAUAAUGACAGUACCUGGUAAAGAAACCCCGGCUAACUCCGUGCCAGCAGCCGCGGUAAUACGGAGGGGGUUAGCGUUGUUCGGAAUUACUGGGCGUAAAGCGCGCGUAGGCGGACUGGAAAGUUGGGGGUGAAAUCCCGGGGCUCAACCCCGGAACUGCCUCCAAAACUCCCAGUCUUGAGUUCGAGAGAGGUGAGUGGAAUUCCGAGUGUAGAGGUGAAAUUCGUAGAUAUUCGGAGGAACACCAGUGGCGAAGGCGGCUCACUGGCUCGAUACUGACGCUGAGGUGCGAAAGUGUGGGGAGCAAACAGGAUUAGAUACCCUGGUAG
RNAcentral lists this ribosomal RNA (448 nucleotides) under uncultured bacterium. RNAcentral describes it as "bacterial SSU rRNA". It matches the Rfam family "Bacterial small subunit ribosomal RNA", at positions 328 to 793 of the family's 1533-position model. The record is from RNAcentral.